Molecule: ribosomal RNA, 431 nt
Filed under: uncultured bacterium
Lineage: Bacteria
Description: partial 16S ribosomal RNA
Rfam family: Bacterial small subunit ribosomal RNA
Source: RNAcentral
CCUACGGGGGGCUGCAGUCGAGAAUCUUGGGCAAUGCACGAAAGUGUGACCCAGCGACGCCGCGUGAAGGAUGAAGGCCCUUGGGUCGUAAACUUCUUUUACGGGGGAAACGGUACCCCGUGAAUAAGCCACGGCUAACUACGUGCCAGCAGCCGCGGUAAUACGUAGGUGGCAAGCGUUGUCCGGAUUUACUGGGCGUAAAGCGAGCGCAGGCGGAAUGUUAAGUAGGCAGUGAAAGGGCGGAGCUCAACUCCAACAUUGCUUCCUAUACUGGCUUUCUUGAGUAGCGGAGAGGAAGGGGGAACGACACGUGUAGCGGUGAAAUGCGUUGAUAUGUGUCGGAACACCCAUGGCGAAAGCACCCUUCUGGACCAACUGACGCUCAUGCUCGAAAGCCAAGGGAGCGAACAGGAUUAGAUACCCUUGUAGUC